CAGAAAAGUAACAAAUGCAGCAGGCCAUGUGAGUCGAGGGUACCAGAGGGCUCUGGUUGUCGUUGGGGCUUCCUUUUAUGGAGUUAAAGGCUCCCACACCAGCAAGCCUCAGCGCAGCAGCAAAAGCUCCUCUUAUGAGUGUGCACAGCCUCUGUCAAUCAUCCUGCUGGAAGGCACUGGCUGACAUUGUGAGAUCAGGCUAGGUGCCCCAGGACUCCCAACUGGUGCUGAAAACCUGGAGGAUUUCUAGAGAGAUAUUGGUCUUUCAUCAACAAAGGAAGCCUGGAAAGCUGAUUUUGAUGUCAGCAAAGAAAUCAGCAGCAGCAGCAGCAGAAGCAGAUACAUACAGGAUAACAUCCAUGAGGCUCUCUCCAAACCCCUGGAUCUUGGGCUUCCAGUUUCCAGACAUUAGUGGAGAUUGAAUCCAGGGCCUUAUUCACGCUAGGUUAAGGAACUGCUUUCUGAAUACUGCAAGCAGUUGGAGUUGGGAACAGCCAUCUCUGUGUUUUCCAGCAUCCUGCAGACAUCAGGCCACUGUACACCCUAUGGAGGUUGUUCUUCAUCUUUUGCUUCCCAGGCCUACUGUAACAAGGAGACUGGGCUUCAGUGGAGAGCUCUGGGAUCAGAACAGCCUAGUGCCACAAGAGAAAAUGAAUCGAGAGGCUCUAGAGUGAGGAAGUGCUCUGUGAUUUGUAGAGUGCCUGCUUCUGUAAUCUCCAUUUCACAAUUACUGCAACCCUGUGUCCUUAUUCCUCCAAUGUCUUCAUCCUCUGCCACCUAACGCUAAGUCCAGAGGCUGGUGAACUGGAGUAGACAUCCACUGAAGGAGCACACGUACGCAUUGUCUGCAGGCUCUGUGGAAAUGAUAUUAUCUCUUUCAUUGGUCACCAACUCUGCAACAGCCAUGAUGUGCCUCAUUUCCCAGUUGAGAAGAAUGGUGUUCUACGAGUCUAAGCGACACAUACAAGCAGAGAGCAAAGAGUGGAGUUUCCACAGGAAGCCUGAACUUCCUCCUUGUGAAAGAUGAACAUGUGCUCAGGAGAACGGUGUUUUUGUUCUUUUCUUCCUAGCAUUAAGGACAGAUGAAAUUCAUUCCCAGAGCCAGGCAAGAAGAUGAAAUGCAGAUGCAAGAUGAGCAGCCUGGCUCCUGGCUCCCAGGUAUCCCUGCAGGUAGGGACAAGCCUCCAAAGGAGCCCAGGACAGCCACACCUCUACUAUUUCUGACAUCUUGGAUUCAAUGUAAUACCAUGUGAAUUUAUUUCCUACCAUAUGUGAUUUUUUGCUUAUUUGUAAGCAAAAGUGACAUGUUUCAGUAGCUCCUGGCCUAUGCUUUACACAUCUGGUUCACAAUGGAUAGAAGAGGGGCUUACUUGGCCACCUAGAAAGAUGGAGGUGGGGACCAAAGUGAUGGCUUAGCUGAUAAAGGUCCUGCUGCACAGGUGUGAGGACCAGAGUUUGCGUUCCCAGCACCCAUGCAGAAGCUAGGUCCUCAGCAAUGAUCAGUACAUGGAAAAAAGCUGGGUCCCUGGAGCUCAUUGGCCAAUAAGACUGCCUCAAUUAAUCAGGUUCAAGUGAGAGAUGUCAACUCAAAAACAGAUGAAGAGAAAUUGAGGACGAUAUCUGAUGUCCAUCUCUAGUGUGUGAGCACACAUGUGCACAUAUACCUGCUCACACACAGAGAAAGAAGCCUGUAGGGUGGAGGUAUCGUGCAAGUGCCCUUAUUCAUCAGUGCCAGCGGCAGCAGAGCCCGACAGUCAGUUCUGCUCUGUGCAAACAACCUCACCGGAUUCUGUCUGUGUCUUCUGUUUAUGGAAAACCUGUCAUCCAUCUGCCUGGGAAGGAUCCUUGCUGUUCUCAUGGGAGCCUUUCUUUCCUUUUGUCCUCUACACCCACAGGGCCCCGCCAUCCUCCAGGAGACCUUUCCAGACUGCACCUGCUCUGCGUGUGCUGUGUGUUUGCUGUGUGCUAUGGACUCAAAUCCUCACACUGGUGCAUCGGGGUCAUCUUGACUAGGUCGUCUUCCCCGCCCCAUGCUGCCACCAUCUUGAAAGGAGGCACAGGUGGAUAAAUCUGCCCCUCAGAGAAAGAAUAUUAGACAGGACCAGUGCAUUUGGAAGACUGGGGUACUGAAAAAGAGUCACUUUCAAAAGGUUCUAAAAUUCAGGGCUUGGGCCGGUGUGGUAGUUCAGAAGGUAAAGGAGUUUGACAACCUGAGUCUCAUCGCUGGGGUCCACAUGGUGGAAAGGGAGAGCCUACUCCAGAGAGCUGGUCUCUAACCCCCACAGGAAUGUUGUGCACAUACACACAAAGAUAGUUAAAAACUUAACCAAAACAUUGAAGGCCAGGGCUCUGCCCUGCUGUAGAACAGGAAACCUCUGUAAGGAAGGACAGCCCACCUUCUGAAGGGAAGGUAAGAGGAGACUUCAGUUUCAAAGAUGGCUGCCCUUGGAGACUGCCCCGCCCAACUUUCUCUGGUGAAGUUCUCCAGAAGAGACUGUAGAUAGUCAUCAAGAGACCUCGGGAACUCCUGACAUGGCAGGUGUAUGCAUUCAUUUUUGUUCAGAUGACAGGGCUUUGCUUUUGGCCUCCAUCAAUAACCCAGGACCCUUUUCUACAUGAGCUUAUGUAGUCACUGGGUUUGUGGAACCUUCCAAAGCAAAAGUGAACAAAAUCCCCUCGGCCUUUAGUAACUAACGUCUUAUCAAAAGCUAAAGAGCUGGUUGCCUUCAGCUUGAACCUUGAAAAUUUCUGAUCCUUCCCCCACCCCCGCCCCCAGUAUAUAUGGCAGAAAGACAAGGCACAACAUUGGAAGUUGUCACGUGAAAGGUAGGGGACAUUUCCCGACCCAGAGCUUACUUCUCUGAGCAGCUGGAUUCUACUCUAUGUGGAUGGCCAGCAUGUUAAAUAGAUAGAGUAGCAGUGGCCAUGCUAAUAAGUUAGGUCAUCAAACUCACCUGGAAUAUUUAUCAGCAGUCCAAACUCCUCAAGUUAUAAAUACCCUUAAAAAAAUCUAAAGAUACCAAUGGUUAACUGGGGGAUCAUCUUUAAAAAAUACUGUCACCCACUGAAUCUAGAAAUCUGGCCUCUGUUCUGCAAAAUAAACAAUCAUUUCACCCCUUUGUUUAAAAAAAAAAUCAUUACACAGGCCUGAAUUAAAAGGUUAGCCUUGGGCCUAGAGAGAUGGCUCAGCAGUUAAGAGUACUGGCUGGUUUGAAGAGGACCCAGGUUCAAUUCCCAGCACCCACAGGGCAGCUCACAACCACCCGUCACUCCAGUUAGGGAGGACACAAAUAGCUUUCAAGGGAAAAUUUUAGCAAAUCCUUUUCCCCCCCAGUGCAUCAGCUUGGAAGUGUGAACUUACCAAUUUAGGAAGAGAUUCACACUCGGGAAAAGAUACUGGUUCACCCUGACUGUGCUUCCUAGUCCUUCACGUUCAUACAUGGAGAACAAAGGAGACUGACUCUGCGGCAGAAAACAGCUCUCUGGGUAAAAACCGGCCCUAACGUUUUAUCGUGCAGAGGCCGACUCCUAACACCUGUGACAGAAAGAAGCCUUCAAGGCUCCUGGAAGGACACUGCCCCUCAUUGCCAGGGUGAUGAGCUGAGUAGUAUGUGUGCUGAACGGGCAAGACUCCGUCCCCAGGGCAAUGGACUGACGGCUGUGUGUGCUGAACCGGCAGGACUCCAGGGGCCACACAGGUGGCCCUGACACCCCCUUCCCCAGAGUUAAGGCUGCACAGCUUCUACAGAAGCGGAAAGGAAAGGAUACACACUGCUUUCCAGAGGUUUCUGGAUUGGAGGGGAGGCUGAGAGUCCGUUGCCCCAGGCAGACCAGAGCGAAGUUAUUAAGAGAAUUCAUGAGUGUGUCACCAGGAAGAGAGGCAUCAGCAGCUCCAAUCAUAUGUGCCUCAGGGGUCAAAAAAUCAAAUCCCCAUCUAGGAAGUGUCAGGUGCUGCCGCUCUGUCUCCAUGGUAACCCAGGAGGUAGAGUCAAGAGCACACCUGUACUUAGUACAUAACAGAACGAACCUAAGAAAGCAGUGACAGUUACAUCUUACUCGGAGUCCACCAGAGAACAUAAAUGCUUUCUGUUUAUUUGUUUGUUUCUGACAUUUUCUUGGAAUGGAUAAAUCCCCGCUCCAUCAGACUAAAGGACUUAAGAAUCUGUGAAGACCUCACCAAACAAGCAAAAAACCUCCCCAGAUUCCUCCAAAGUGACCAUAGGCCUUUUUAUUUUUUUGUAAAAUAAUCCAAGAGGCCUCCCAUACCUUUCGCAUAACCUACCGUCUCUUUACCUCUCUGGCUCCUAAAACACUGGGAAAGUGCAGAGGCCUCGAACUUACAUGUCAAGAUUGCUGAGAAAGGGUGGUGUUGGCUUCUUAUUGUUUUGUUAAUAAUUAAAACCACUUGUGGUAGGAUGGAGACACGGCUCAGAGUAUAAGAGCACU
Peromyscus maniculatus bairdii (prairie deer mouse) is the source of this 4446-nucleotide non-coding RNA. Lineage: Eukaryota; Metazoa; Chordata; Mammalia; Rodentia; Cricetidae. The record is from RefSeq and is a predicted model, not a curated record.